RNAcentral lists this long non-coding RNA (387 nucleotides) under Androctonus crassicauda. Lineage: Eukaryota; Metazoa; Arthropoda; Arachnida; Scorpiones; Buthidae. The record is from RNAcentral.
AAUGGACAUAUCCAAAGGAAAGAUGGUCACAGCAUUAGCCAGGAACAUAUAUGAACAUAAUGUAGUUGUCAACUGGAAUAAUGCUAAGGUGGUUAAGCCAAUAUCUGACAGCUUUGGGCUCAAUGUACUAGAAGCGAUGGAAAUUGAAAAAAGGUGGUCCUACUCCAAUAUUAUAAGUGACAACCCACCCAUGGACUUACUUGAAUCCUGGAAAUGGUGCUCUCUGCAUAAUUUAUAACAAGACUUUGUGCGCAAUACUUGAUAUGCAUAUUGGAUCUAAGGACGUUGUUGUACUCGCGCCAGAUCUGCCAUAUCCUUUAUCUUCUCAGACUAAUAUGGCACCUUACACCAUAUGUUUAAUUCAUGUUUGUUACUAAUGUAAUGUGU